AAAACGACUCUCGGCAACGGAUAUCUCGGCUCUCGCAUCGAUGAAGAACGUAGCGAAAUGCGAUACUUGGUGUGAAUUGCAGAAUCCCGUGAACCAUCGAGUCUUUGAACGCAAGUUGCGCCCAAAACCCUCGGGUCAAGGGCACGUCUGCCUGGGUGUCACGC
This 164-nucleotide ribosomal RNA is filed under the name Glochidion benthamianum. RNAcentral's name for it is "5.8S ribosomal RNA". It matches the Rfam family "5.8S ribosomal RNA". From Rfam's summary of the family: 5.8S ribosomal RNA (5.8S rRNA) is a component of the large subunit of the eukaryotic ribosome. It is transcribed by RNA polymerase I as part of the 45S precursor that also contains 18S and 28S rRNA. The record is from RNAcentral. Lineage: Eukaryota; Viridiplantae; Streptophyta; Magnoliopsida; Malpighiales; Phyllanthaceae.